RNAcentral lists this microRNA precursor (105 nucleotides) under Marmota monax (woodchuck). The record is from RNAcentral. Lineage: Eukaryota; Metazoa; Chordata; Mammalia; Rodentia; Sciuridae.
AUACAAAUCAACUAAGGAUCUUGUUAAAAUGCAGAUGUUCAUCAUGUAGCUCUUGAAUAAUGACUCAGAUUCUGAACUUUUAACAAACUCCAAGGUGAUGUUCAU